UGGGGAAUUUUGGACAAUGGGGGAAACCCUGAUCCAGCCAUCCCGCGUGUGCGAUGAAGGCCUUCGGGUUGUAAAGCACUUUUGGCAGGAAAGAAACGUCGCGGGUUAAUACCCCGCGAAACUGACGGUACCUGCAGAAUAAGCACCGGCUAACUACGUGCCAGCAGCCGCGGUAAUACGUAGGGUGCAAGCGUUAAUCGGAAUUACUGGGCGUAAAGCGUGCGCAGGCGGUUCGGAAAGAAAGAUGUGAAAUCCCAGAGCUUAACUUUGGAACUGCAUUUUUUAACUACCGGGCUAGAGUGUGUCAGAGGGAGGUGGAAUUCCGCGUGUAGCAGUGAAAUGCGUAGAUAUGCGGAGGAACACCGAUGGCGAAGGCAGCCUCCUGGGAUAACACUGACGCUCAUGCACGAAAGCGUGGGGAGCAAACAGGAUUAGAUACCCUGGUAGUCCACGCCCUAAACGAUGUCAACUAGCUGUUGGGGCCUUCGGGCCUUGGUAGCGCAGCUAACGCGUGAAGUUGACCGCCUGGGGAGUA
Molecule: ribosomal RNA, 535 nt
Filed under: uncultured bacterium
Lineage: Bacteria
Description: partial 16S ribosomal RNA
Rfam family: Bacterial small subunit ribosomal RNA
Source: RNAcentral